AUGGGUAGCACGAUAUUCCUAAACCCGAUCCUCAAAAGCCUUGAGCAUAUCCAAAUCAAAGCCGCUAUCCGUCUUGAGAAAGUAGGAAUCCCUUCACACCUGCGUAAAUUCAGGCAAAUCAACACGCAAGCAAGAAGGCAGAAGAGAGCAGCCGAAGCAUCGAAACAAGCUCAUAGUCAUCGUGUCCCUUUUGUGCAUCGUGUUGACAAAUGUAAACCAUGCGCAUGCACCUUUAUCAUUAAUCUAACGAUCUCCUAUAUAAACCCAGACGUACGUUGUACUAAUUUCCUCUCCUCUGGAGCGCAUAUCUCCGGAGGAAUAUAUUCCGCCACCACUACUACCAGUCGGCUCCGGGUCUAA
This 360-nucleotide ribosomal RNA is filed under the name Triticum aestivum (bread wheat). Its description in RNAcentral is "partial small subunit ribosomal RNA". The record is from RNAcentral. Lineage: Eukaryota; Viridiplantae; Streptophyta; Magnoliopsida; Poales; Poaceae.